AUCGCCAUCGGGAUCAUCUUUAUGCGGGACGAGCUUCGGCGGACGGCGGACCUCCGAUCGCUGACUUCGAAGAUGGUCCCCAUCGCGAAUGACACUGAUCUCAUCAAUUUCUGCCAUCUCUCGAUUCAACACUUUUAUAGGACGAUAUCCCACGAACUUUUCACCUGCAGUUUUUCCGGAUAUAAUUAGAACAAUGGGUACAAGAGACAUGGAAUCUUUAGGAUUGUAACAUUAGGUUUCUUCUUGGGAUUUUUAUAUGUCUUUGACCACCUGUUUCUGUAUAACCUCGACACUGAUACAAGUUACUUAUGGAGUCAUAUUUGUUUUUUUAAA
This is a long non-coding RNA of Zingiber officinale, 333 nucleotides long. RefSeq lists it as uncharacterized. NCBI's taxonomy places the organism in Eukaryota, Viridiplantae, Streptophyta, Magnoliopsida, Zingiberales, Zingiberaceae. The transcript has 2 exons. The record is from RefSeq and is a predicted model, not a curated record.